CACACGACCGUACCGCAAACCGACACUGGUGCGCGAGAUGAGUAUUCUAAGGCGCUUGAGAGAACUCAGGAGAAGGAACUCGGCAAAUUGACACCGUAACUUCGGAAGAAGGUGUGCCUUUAGUAGGUGAAGUCCCUCGCGGAUGGAGCCCAAUGAGGUUGCAAAAAAUCGGUGGCUGCGACUGUUUAUUAAAAACACAGCACUCUGCAAACACGAAAGUGGACGUAUAGGGUGUGACGCCUGCCCGGUGCUGGAAGAUUAAAUGAUGGGGUGCAAGCUCUUGAUUGAAGUCCCAGUAAACGGCGGCCGUAACAAUAACGGUCCUAAGGUAGCGAAAUUCCUUGUCGGGUAAGUUCCGACCUGCACGAAUGGCGUAACGAUGGCCACACUGUCUCCUCCUGAGACUCAGCGAAGUUGAAAUGUUUGUGAUGAUGCAAUCUCCCCGCGGAAAGACGGAAAGACCCCAUGAACCUUUACUGUAGCUUUGUAUUGGACUUUGAACAGAUCUGUGUAGGAUAGGUGGGAGGCUUUGAAGCAGGGUCGCUAGAUCUUGUGGAGCCAACGUUGAAAUACCACCCUGGUGUGUUUGAGGUUCUAACCUAGGCCCGUAAUCCGGGUUGGGGACAGUGCAUGGUAGGCAGUUUGACUGGGGCGGUCUCCUCCCAAAGUGUAACGGAGGAGUUCGAAGGUACGCUAGUUACGGUCGGACAUCGUGACGAUAGUGCAAUGGCAUAAGCGUGCUUAACUGCGAGACUGACAAGUCGAGCAGAUGCGAAAGCAGGACAUAGUGAUCCGGUGGUUCUGUAUGGAAGGGCCAUCGCUCAACGGAUAAAAGGUACUCUGGGGAUAACAGGCUGAUACCGCCCAAGAGUUCAUAUCGACGGCGGUGUUUGGCACCUCGAUGUCGGCUCAUCUCAUCCUGGGGCUGUAGCCGGUCCCAAGGGUAUGGCUGUUCGCCAUUUAAAGAGGUACGUGAGCUGGGUUUAAAACGUCGUGAGACAGUUUGGUCCCUAUCUUCCGUGGGCGCUGCAGAUUUGAGGAAGCCUGCUCCUAGUACGAGAGGACCGGAGUGGACGCACCUCUGGUGUAUCGGUUGUCACGCCAGUGGCAUUGCCGAGUAGCUAUGUGCGGAAGAGAUAACCGCUGAAAGCAUCUAAGCGGGAAACUCAUUUCAAGAUGAGAUCUGCCGGGGCCUUGAGCCCCCUGAAGAGUCGUUCAAGACCAGGACGUUGAUAGGUCGGGUGUGGAAGCGCAGUAAUGCGUUAAGCUAACCGAUACUAAUUGCUCGUGCGGCUUGACC
RNAcentral lists this ribosomal RNA (1300 nucleotides) under metagenome. RNAcentral's name for it is "bacterial LSU rRNA". It matches the Rfam family "Bacterial large subunit ribosomal RNA", at positions 1635 to 2925 of the family's 2925-position model. The record is from RNAcentral.